Molecule: ribosomal RNA, 905 nt
Filed under: Clostridioides difficile
Lineage: Bacteria; Bacillati; Bacillota; Clostridia; Peptostreptococcales; Peptostreptococcaceae
Description: partial 23S ribosomal RNA
Rfam family: Bacterial large subunit ribosomal RNA
Source: RNAcentral
CUGUUUACCAAAAACAUAGGUUUCUGCUAAGUCGCAAGACGAUGUAUAGGAGCUGACGCCUGCCCGGUGCUGGAAGGUUAAGGGGAUCUGUUAGAGCAAUCGAAGCAGUGAACUUAAGCCCCAGUAAACGGCGGCCGUAACUAUAACGGUCCUAAGGUAGCGAAAUUCCUUGUCGGGUAAGUUCCGACCCGCACGAAAGGCGUAACGAUUUGGGCACUGUCUCAACAACAGACUCGGUGAAAUUGUAAUUCCGGUGAAGAUGCCGGAUACCUGCGACAGGACGGAAAGACCCCAUGGAGCUUUACUGUAGCUUGACAUUGGGUCUUGGUACUACAUGUACAGGAUAGGUGGGAGGCUUUGAAACCAGGACGCCAGUUUUGGCGGAGCCAUCCUUGGGAUACCACCCUUGUAGUACUGGGACUCUAACCAUAGGCCAUGAAUCUGGUCUUGGGACACUGUCAGGUGGGCAGUUUGACUGGGGCGGUCGCCUCCCAAAAGGUAACGGAGGCGCUCAAAGGUUCUCUCAGUACGGUCGGAAAUCGUACGUAGAGUGUAAAGGCAAAAGAGAGCUUGAUUGCAAGACAUACAGGUCGAGCAAGGAUGAAAAUCGGACUUAGUGAUCCGGUGGUUCUGCGUGGAAGGGCCAUCGCUCAACGGAUAAAAGCUACCCUGGGGAUAACAGGCUUAUCUCCCCCAAGAGUCCACAUCGACGGGGAGGUUUGGCACCUCGAUGUCGGCUCAUCACAUCCUGGGGCUGUAGUAGGUCCCAAGGGUUGGGCUGUUCGCCCAUUAAAGUGGUACGCGAGCUGGGUUCAGAACGUCGUGAGACAGUUCGGUCCCUAUCCGUCGCAGGCGUAGGAAAUUUGAGAAGACCUGUCCUUAGUACGAGAGGACCGGGAUGGACG